Molecule: ribosomal RNA, 204 nt
Filed under: uncultured Syntrophus sp.
Lineage: Bacteria; Pseudomonadati; Thermodesulfobacteriota; Syntrophia; Syntrophales; Syntrophaceae
Description: partial 16S ribosomal RNA
Rfam family: Bacterial small subunit ribosomal RNA
Source: RNAcentral
UGACGUCAAGUCCUCAUGGCCUUUAUGCCCAGGGCUACACACGUGCUACAAUGGGUGGUACAAAGAGAGGCAAGCUCGCGAGAGUAAGCAAAUCUCAAAAAGCCAUCCUCAGUUCGGAUUGGAGUCUGCAACUCGACUCCAUGAAGUCGGAAUCGCUAGUAAUCGCGGAUCAGCACGCCCGCGGUCGAAUACGUUCCGGGCCUU